RNAcentral lists this long non-coding RNA (359 nucleotides) under Malus domestica (apple). RNAcentral's name for it is "long non-coding RNA (MDOM_LNC013118)". Lineage: Eukaryota; Viridiplantae; Streptophyta; Magnoliopsida; Rosales; Rosaceae. The record is from RNAcentral.
CUUGAAGAGACAAAGAGAAUGGUACCUUGCACAACACCUAGUUCGCCGUGGUUUGGCCGGAAACUGCCUUGAAAGCCUCGGAGGUCGCCGGAAACUGGGUAUUUUUCAAAUGAGUAUAACUUCUUCAAUACUCAACGAAAUUGAGUGAAACAAAAAGGAAAGUUGUAGUACUUGACGAGACGAAGAGAUUGAUACCUACCUCGACUCCUAACUCACCGGUUAUUCGCCGGAAAGAGCCUCGAAAGCUCCGGCCAAACUUUGAACUUGUCGAUCUCCGUGUUCUUACGUCCAAAAACUUCCAACGAAGCACUCCGAGCUUCCUUGGGACCUCACUAAGCUCACUAUGAGCUUGGAUUGUC